This 253-nucleotide ribosomal RNA is filed under the name uncultured bacterium. RNAcentral describes it as "partial 16S ribosomal RNA". The stretch from base 27 to 253 matches the Rfam family "Bacterial small subunit ribosomal RNA", at positions 550 to 776 of the family's 1533-position model. The record is from RNAcentral.
UACCAGCACCCCGAGUGGUCGGGACGUUUAUUGGGCCUAAAGCAUCCGUAGCCGGUUCUACAAGUCUUCCGUUAAAUCCAACUGCUUAACAGGUGGGCUGCGGAAGAUACUAUAGAGCUAGGAGGCGGGAGAGGCAAGCGGUACUCGAUGGGUAGGGGUAAAAUUCGUAGAUAUUCGCAGGAACACCAGUGGCGAAGGCGACUUGCUGGAUCUUUGCUGACGCUGAGACGCGAAAGCGUGGGGAGCAAACAGG